AUGUCUUGCUGCAGCUACUGGCAUAUCCUGUCCAACCCAUCCCCCAAUAUGACUGCAUUACAAACAAGGCUAGAAAGACAACAACAAAAUUUAAGGACUGCACUGAAGAUGCGCAGGGAAAAAAAAUACCCAUCACCAAACAAACAAAGAAAGGACACACACUUUCAGCUGUAGGAAGAGCAGCGUGCAGACCACGAAGGGCAUUCCUGGAAGGACCUCCAGGCAGAGAUGGCCAUGUUUCAGCAUGUGCUAUUGCAGAACUCGUGGCUGAAACGACUCCGCUGCACAGAAGUGAAGGGAUUCCCUCCACCAGUGUGUCUCCAGCACACGAGUCCCUGCUGUCACAUCAAGGUGGCCCAGGUGAGCCAAACAGAAAGGUGGGUGUAUAACACAGGGAACCACUGUCAUUUUCUGAGGCCAAACCAGCAGGAUCCUUUGGUCUGGUACUUGCACUGUAGUCUGGCAAAGAGCAGCGUUAGCAUAGUGAGCAAGCCCUUGUGGGGUCAUUAAGAGAGAAGCUUCUGCAAAACUUUCCUGAAUGGAUUAAGAGUUUUCGGGGGGUUUUUUGCAUACAAUAGUUAUAAAUAGCACUUACCCCUUUCUGAAGGCUUCUCUUCUUCCAAGCCAAAUAAAAAUUCAUAUUUGGCCUUGGCAACAUUCUGGGCAUGAGCCGAUACAUCAUUAUCCCACACAAGUGCUUCUGCCUGUAGAGUCAAAAUAAACAAAGCUUAUCUACCUUUUGGUGGAAAAACAGCAGCAGGAACGUGAAAUCCUUCCAGGUGCGCUGUCAGGAAGGAUUUUCAAAGUAUUCAUUUAACUCUGUCACCACCAAGAUCAUCCAGAGCAGACAUGCGCCAACUCAGAUUGCUUUUGAAGAGCUUGCCUCUCUGUCUUUGAACCCAAGCAUUUCAGCAUUAAGCAGAGCACCCAACCACUUAUAUCUUUAGCCGGCUUACCCACUGCAAGGGCAGCAGCAACCUGGCCAACUACAUCAGUAAUACCAGUUAGUGUUAAAAAUGUCAAGGGAGUAGUGUCAGAAAUAGCAAAUUUGAAUAUUUAUGUCACAAAACUGGGACCCAUGAGAAAACUAUAAAUGGGGCAGGCUGUUUCUUUGAAGAGAGGCUGGGGCGCAGAGAAAGGGAGGAAGGAAAAAGGGCUACAGCAAGGAUGAUCAAAAAUGGGAAAAAGGGAUAAGGUAUGCAAAUGUGUGGCGAGUACCAUCUAAGGGUCUCCGUUGGGCAGCCCACGCCUGACCGCUGCUGUCUAGUUCAGGACAAUAGCCCAACCUGGUUUUAUAACAAUACCACACAAGUCAAACCUGCUUAUCUGGCCAGGAGGCAGGGAGGAGGCACAGAGUGGUGAAGCCAGCUAGUCCUGGGUGGGGAUGGAUGGACAGAUGAAUUGAGCAACCCCUGCCCACCCAGGUCUGGUGCCACCAGCACCUUCACCCUGCUCCCUCCUUGUAAGGAGCAGUUUGACAGAGAAAAGGUCCAGUUUCUCAGAGGAGAUAAAGGCUGCAGGACUAAGAUCAAAAUACCUUUCUGAACAAGUGGGGACAAAUCAAAUCCCCAAGAUAAAGCACACACCAGCAAUAGGCUGUGGUGCAAAAACUAUCUGCAGUCGGCAUUAAGUGUCUUCCCAGCUGGGCAAGAGGGAGCCUGUAAUUCUUCUGUUUGAAGUGACAGAUGAAAUAAAUCAUUAACUCCACAAAUUCUUCAGUAAACUUUAUAUUCACGCUCUGUGUUUGAGGCACUCAACUGUUGCAGCAUAGCAAGUCAUUGCAUCGUUCAUAUUAAAGACCUUAGCUUACAAAAAUAUUCUUAAAAAAAGAAGUCAGGUGAAACAUUCUGACCCCCAGGACAACAAUAACUUUUAUGCAUUUCUAUCAAAUACCUUAGGAGAAGCGUCAUCUACAAACAUAAAUUCAAAGUACAGGGGACAGACACGUAAUUCACAGGUCAAGGCUCUUUAAUCAGCAAUGGAUGGAAUCCAUACAUUCCUCCACCUCUCCAACAACUACAUUUUCUUCCACGAGCAUAUUGACAAAUAGCUAUCUUGCCCCAUGCCCUUGAACAGUUUUGCUCCAGGUUUUCCUGGCCUUUUACUCCAUUUCUACUCCUGCCUUUCUGCACUGCACCAGUUCUGCAGGAUUUAGUCCAACACUACUCUGUCUGAAAUAGGCAGCAGAUCUUACACAGGGGUCUUGGACAGAUUUAUUAUACUUAUUUAUUCACUGGUCCAACUACUCAUCACUAGAGCUCUGAGUACUUUGAUGGACGUGCUAACACUAGGGUACCAAAUCCUUUGGGAAAAAUGUGAUGAAACAGAUGAAGGGUUUUCUAGCACAAAGAUGACUUCCAUGAACAAGACAAAAUGAGCUUGAAAAAAGCCUCCAUGUCUCUCCUGCUUUUACAGGGCUGCAUUCAUUCACUGGAAGGGAGGCAUGAAGGGCUAGAAAAGGAAUAGCUGGACCCAGAGCUCACACAGGAGAAGGCUCUUGUCUGCAACAGCUUGGACAGGAGUAGCUUACAGAGCCAGACAAAAAUUCAACCUACCCAGAAAUGGAUGUGAAGGGAUGGGACGGCUAAAAACUAGCUGGUGCCAAAUCCCAGUCACGGAUGAAUGAAAUGGAAAAUAAAAUGAACAGAAGAGUCCAGUUCCUGAGCAGUCAGGAAUUUCUGAUCUAUACACCUCUGGGACACAGUAUUUCCAUACCUCAGCCUUGCUCUUUGAGACUUCACAGACAUCUGGUGCAGUGAACAACCCUGCCAGCAAACACAUGUUCCAAGGGUCUGUAUUUGCCUGCUCCUCAUCGUAAAGCAACGGAGAAGAGUCUGGUUCACAGCACCCUCUGCAUUGCCCAAUAACAGGCAGAAAUAAAUUGUUAGAUUAAUGGGGUUUCCAUGUACAGGGCAGCAUUUAUCAGAACUAGGUGCGUAAAGAGAGGCUGCAAGACCUUUGUCUUGGCAUCUAAAAGGAAUUACUUGAUUUUCAGAAGUGCUCAGCACCACUGAUGAGAAUUACAGAUACUGGCUUGUGCAUGGGAACAGCUGAACUUAACAUCUAUUUAGGCUGUCAGAGCACUAAAAGGAACUGUGUAAAGAAACUCCAGAUCCAGGCUUAAGGAAAAAGUUUAUCAUAUUUCAUCCAAA
This is a long non-coding RNA of Neopelma chrysocephalum (saffron-crested tyrant-manakin), 3152 nucleotides long. RefSeq lists it as uncharacterized. Lineage: Eukaryota; Metazoa; Chordata; Aves; Passeriformes; Pipridae. The transcript has 2 exons. The record is from RefSeq and is a predicted model, not a curated record.